RNAcentral lists this unclassified non-coding RNA (564 nucleotides) under Hevea brasiliensis (rubber tree). The record is from RNAcentral. Lineage: Eukaryota; Viridiplantae; Streptophyta; Magnoliopsida; Malpighiales; Euphorbiaceae.
CACACACACACACACACAUGUAUAUAGUGUUAGAAACUAACUAAAUAUCAAAACUUAUUUAAGUAGGAUUCCUUAUAUAAGCAGUAUAAUGAAAAAAUAAAGUACAAGCAAUAUUAUAACUAUUUGUAAAAUCAAACGUCAGCUUUUUAUUGAAACAAAUGAGAGGCUGUGAUUAUUUGGUGAGCUUUAGCUUGCACAAACCCAAUAUUGGAGUUGUCUCCAAGUUGUGAGGUCUCAAAUUCGACUCUCAGAAGGAGCCAAGCAAAUAAAAAAAAAUAUUUAACGAUAGUAAUACAUGGGCACCAGCCUAGUUAGUUAACCAUAAUAAUGGUAUCGGUACCCGAAGAUAUGGUUGUUAUGGUCAAUCAUAAUGCAAGCUAGCUGGUCAAUCAAUACGCAAGCUAGCUCAAUUUUAGUUGUAUGUAGUACUUGACCUCCCAUAACAUAUCGGAAGAACACUUCCGGGGCAUCUAUGUUUGGGAAUGCUGCAACCCAAAAAUACAUAGGGCGGGGACAUGGAUAGAAAGUGAAUACUCAUACCCCUUCCACCUCCAAGACAUCUGU